This 440-nucleotide ribosomal RNA is filed under the name uncultured bacterium. Its description in RNAcentral is "partial 16S ribosomal RNA". It matches the Rfam family "Bacterial small subunit ribosomal RNA", at positions 338 to 795 of the family's 1533-position model. The record is from RNAcentral.
CCUACGGGAGGCAGCAGUAGGGAAUAUUGCUCAAUGGGGGAAACCCUGAAGCAGCAACGCCGCGUGGGGGAUGAAGGUUUUCGGAUUGUAAACUCCUUUUGUUAGAGAAGAUAAUGACGGUAUCUAACGAAUCAGCCCCGGCUAACUCCGUGCCAGCAGCCGCGGUCAUACGGAGGGUGCAAGCGUUACUCGGAAUCACUGGGCGUAAAGAGCGCGUAGGCGGGAUAGCAAGUCAGAUGUGAAAUCCUAUGGCUUAACCAUAGAACUGCAUUUGAAACUGUUAUUCUAGAGUAUGGGAGAGGUAGGUGGAAUUCUUGGUGUAGGGGUAAAAUCCGUAGAGAUCAAGAGGAAUACUCAUUGCGAAGGCGACCUGCUAGAACAUAACUGACGCUGAUGCGCGAAAGCGUGGGGAGCAAACAGGAUUAGAUACCCUGGUAGUC